AAAUGCGAUAAGUAAUGUGAAUUGCAGAAUUCAGUGAAUCAUCGAAUCUUUGAACGCACAUUGCGCCCGCCAGUAUUCUGGCGGGCAUGCCUGUUCGAGCGUCAUUUCAACCAUCAAGCCCCCGGCUUGUGUUGGGGACCUGCGGCUGCCCGCAGGCCCUGAAAAACAGUGGCGGGCUCGCUGUCACACCGAGCGUAGUAGCAUACAUUCUCGCUCAGGGCGUGCUGCGGGUUCCGGCCGUUAAACGACCUUCAUAACCCAAGGUUGACCUCGGAUCAGGUAGGAAGACCCGCUGAACUUAAGC
RNAcentral lists this unclassified non-coding RNA (304 nucleotides) under plant metagenome. RNAcentral describes it as "partial contains 5.8S ribosomal RNA, internal transcribed spacer 2, and large subunit ribosomal RNA". The stretch from base 1 to 104 matches the Rfam family "5.8S ribosomal RNA", at positions 51 to 154 of the family's 154-position model. The record is from RNAcentral.